AAUGUGCCAGAUAUUAUAUUUAAACAAUGAGCUAAUGAUGCUUUGUGGUUUCCCAUAACAAAAUUCUAUAUAGAAAUUACAGUAGUCAAGGACAAAGCGAUGGAUUUUGAAAAAGAUAAUGGAUAAGAAUAAUUAUUAAUACGAAAACAUGAUUAUUAAAUAAUAAGUAAUAAUUAGAUAUAUUAACCGUUCAUCUCUCAACUGCUUCUUGAAAUGCACGGAUUAGAAAGAGCACGUGCAAAUAUUUAACGAAAGUUGUGCGUCGAAGGAAAAUAUCGCAUAGAAUGGUAAAUGUCAGAGGAAAAAAAUUAUCAUUAAUUGUUUGUGUAAGAAACAAUUGAAUUACAUUUUGUACCCACAGAGUUCAUGUAAUAUCAAAAGAAAAUUAAAGAUGUGGCAUGUGCUUUCUAAGAUAGCAGUAUACAAACACAUAGUCAUAUUUCCACCCAUUUCAGUAUUCUUUCAAGAUGAGCUCGAAACGAGAAUUUUAUUUGUGGUUUAUGCUGACUUUUCUUGCUUUUAUAUCAUGCGCUAUAUCUAUACAAAAUAAGACAGAGAAAACAAUGGAACAACGUGUUAUUGCUUUAGAAUAUUCUAUGCGGGUUUUUGAAAGUAGGAUUCAGACGCUGAACGAUUCGACCUACACAGGUUCUAUUGAAUCUAAACCGGUGAUGUUCUAUGCUACAACAAAAAUCCAGUCGUUUAACUUAGAGAAGAGGUCAACAGUUGUAUUCGGAAAUGUUAUAAUGAAUAUCGGAGGUCAUUAUAAUAACUUCAACGGCGUAUUUGUAUCGCCAACAUCGGGAAUUUAUCUGUUCUCCUGGACUGCAUGUACAAACGGCAAUAACUAUGCAUUCACAGAGUUGGUUGUUCAAAACAAUAGCAUAUCAAGGGCUGGAGAGUUUGAGAAUACUGGUCACUAUCACUGUGGAUCAAUGACUGCAUUAUUUAAGAUAAUGAAGACGAUCAUGCCUGGAUACGAACUAAUGAUUAUACUUCUGGCUCAAAAACGCACUAUUUCUACACAAAUAUGGAUGCCACCAGUAACACGUUUCUUGGAAUAUUAGUGUAUGAAGAUUAAUGGGAGUCCUUGAUAACAGCUCUCGUUACUAAUCACAUUGGAAUCAGAAAACAACGGCACGUUUUUAAUGAAUAUAGUAUAUAUAUCUAAUUUGUUAACUCAAACGAAUAUAAAGUAUUUAUAAAAUAAAAUCAAACACUUGUUUCAUAGGAAUAGCUCGCCAACAUGUGCAGCUUACUGUGAUAAUUUUAUUAAAACAAAAUUAAAUUUGA
Long non-coding RNA from Mytilus californianus (California mussel), 1293 nucleotides. RefSeq lists it as uncharacterized. NCBI's taxonomy places the organism in Eukaryota, Metazoa, Mollusca, Bivalvia, Mytilida, Mytilidae. The record is from RefSeq and is a predicted model, not a curated record. The transcript has 2 exons.